Molecule: ribosomal RNA, 305 nt
Filed under: uncultured bacterium
Lineage: Bacteria
Description: bacterial SSU rRNA
Rfam family: Bacterial small subunit ribosomal RNA
Source: RNAcentral
GCCUACGGGAGGCAGCAGUGGGGAAUAUUGCACAAUGGGGGAAACCCUGAUGCAGCGACGCCGCGUGAGUGAAGAAGUAUUUCGGUUUGUAAGGCUCUAUCAGCAGGGAAGAAAAUGACGGUACCUGACUAAGAAGCCCCGGCUAACUACGUGCCAGCAGCCGCGGUAAUACGUAGGGGGCAAGCGUUAUCCGGAUUUACUGGGUGUAAAGGGAGCGUAGGCGGCAGGGCAAGCCUGAUGUGAAAGCCCGGGGCUCAACCCCGGGACUGCAUUGGGAACUGCCCCGCUCGAGUGCCGGAGGGGCG